UUCAUCUCCUCCAUUAUUUCCCCCUCUUCCUCUCCUAGCUCCACUCAUCUAAUGUAAACAAAUCCUCGCAUUGAUUCUUUCAGUGGUUCGGUUCGUCUCCCCUCAAUCAAUAAAAUCUCUGCCUCAACUAUAACAAGUCACCGACAAAGAUGACGGAACUGCCGUUCCAUAUCGCGCCGCCGCCAGCCAAACCUUCGCGGGCCAUCUCCACCGGAGAACGGCGUGAUGCUGACCCGGAGUCCAGUGAUUGACACCGUCGCACGGCCGAACUGUACCGGAGGACCAGCUGAGCUGCACCAGAUCACACCCCAGUAGAGAACUGCGCUGCAACAUCCGCUCCCUCGUGCGCAUCAUCCCACGGAUCCAGCGGCCGGGGACGCGAUGCUACGUCGGGGUGCUCGCCGAUCGGGCCGGCGGCUGCAUCGCGGAUGGAUCGGCUGACCUCGCCGGCGUCAAGGUGUGGGCACGGGCCCAAGACUCACGCCCCGGCAUCGAAUCUGGCACCCAACGAGGCACACUUCCCAACGCUGACAUCCUCCUCCAACAUCACUUCGGCCAGAGGAAGCUUUGUUCAUCUCCAGCCGUCCCCAUUGCAUCAAGUCCGGUAGGCCUCUCUACCUCUCAUGUUAAUUAGUGUAGUACAAAUAGCUGCAGUCAUGGUCCAUACUAUCAACUAUGCCCAACUACCAUCCUGCAUCUCUCUCUCUCUCUCUCUCUCUCUCUCUCUCUCUCAUGUUAGUUUAGUACAGAUUUUAUUGGUAUUUUAAUCCUUUUCUCUGGUUGUUUUGUAUGGUCAGAGCAUAUUCAAGUUCAUUUUCAGGUAUGUUGUUCCCUGGUACGUAGUACUAUUCCACUGAACGGCAUGGGAUCGAUCUAACACCCGAGUGAUGAAAUAUUUUGAUUGAGAUUUGUGUUCUUCCCCUACUGCAAGGUUUUAUUCAUCUACUUGCAUAAAUGAAACAAAAUAUGAAGUGACUCUUAUGAACAUACUUGAAUUCUCUCUGGGACUGAAGAUAACUGUACAUGCUUGCCUUGAGUUACUUUGAUGUCCUAUUGAAGUGGAGAAUGCAGUUUCUUUUGGAUACGUCUCAUCCUGGAUGUGUUUGUUUAGCCAGCAUACUCCCUGGAUAUACUAAUGUGAUGACAAAUAAGGGUGCUGAUGUGUUUCUGCUUUGUAGGCAGGUGCUACGAUUUUUUAAUCUAUACUAGAAUCGGAACUGAUGUUCAGUGUUCAACCAUGCAUGUGUACUUACAAUAAAACAAUCUUCUCUAAAUUAAGCACAUGGACAUUAUCUGUUCAAACCUAAAGCUUCACUUGAUAAAUGUAAGCGUCUAAUUAAAUAGUGGCUUGCCAAUUAUUCAAUCAAAAUGUUGAAUUUAGAUCUUAGUAAUGAAUAGCCCUUUUCUUUAGUUUGAAUAUCAUUAUUUGAUUGUUCUGAUGUAAAUUACAACUUGAGCCUAAAUGUAUAUAUGUCCUUGCUGAGAGGAUCAAACGAAACCUGUUUUGAUUGUCCUUCUGUUUUAUUGUUCUAUGUUUGUUUGCAUCCUCUUAAACAUAAUGCAAUAAAAAUAGAGUUUGUGUGUUGUCAUA
Molecule: long non-coding RNA, 1591 nt
Organism: Triticum aestivum (bread wheat)
Lineage: Eukaryota; Viridiplantae; Streptophyta; Magnoliopsida; Poales; Poaceae
Exons: 2
Source: RefSeq, a predicted model, not a curated record